This is a small nucleolar RNA of Osmerus eperlanus (European smelt), 226 nucleotides long. RefSeq annotates it as small nucleolar RNA SNORA73 family. The transcript has a single exon. The record is from RefSeq and is a predicted model, not a curated record. Lineage: Eukaryota; Metazoa; Chordata; Actinopteri; Osmeriformes; Osmeridae.
CCAACGUGGAUACCCUGUGAGGUUACUCUCUCAUGGCUCUGUCCUUGUGGCGUAUGGGAGCGUAGCACCUAACCGUGCUGUGACGUAUAGUCCCGUUCCACGAUGUUGGAGAGCAAGCUUUGUCCCCAACCCUCGGGCUGGUGAGGACGGGCGUCCUGUAUAUUCCUACAUCUUCCCAGAGCUCUUUGGGCUGUGACUGGGGGGCUAAACCAUGCAGAGCACAUUG